This 4204-nucleotide long non-coding RNA is filed under the name Sus scrofa (pig). RNAcentral describes it as "lncRNA (ENSSSCG00000055472.1)". The record is from RNAcentral. Lineage: Eukaryota; Metazoa; Chordata; Mammalia; Artiodactyla; Suidae.
UUUUUUGGGGGGAGGCGCCAUAACUUUUCCAUCUGAAAGUUUUUCAACAUUAUAAAUUUUGUUUGCAAUGCAAAUGGAUGAUUAUUACUACUAUUACUAAGAGUUAUUCUUAGAGAAAAAAAUCCCACUGUUUGGAAAAAUAUAUGAAGGCAUGAGACACGGCAAUGAAAGUGGUGGCGAUGUGCCCUGAUUGGAACAAGGAGAGGCCUCUUUCUGUGCACAUGGGGGAGGAUCCAGAAAGAGGGAAGGAAAGAGAAAGCAAGGCCACAUUAGCAGAUAAUAGGAGGCUGAGGUCCACCGUCAGUGAAUGGAAUUAUAGAGAUUUCACAACUUAAUAUUAGGGAUUUCUGACGUUUAAUUUGAAACUCUUCACCAUGUUGUGAUAUAACAUCCACUUUUGGCCCUCAACUUAUUUUCAGCAAAGUUGCCCACACAUAUGAAUGCUCUGGGUGAAAGCUGUGUUUGCUUUUAGGAAUUCAAGAAAGAAUUUGAGGUUCACUUCUGCCGUGAAGAACUGAGUGAGCACCUGUGGAAACUGAGAAUGAAAUGAACCCACCUAGGAAUUAGCAGCCAUUUUGCUGCAGGUUAGGGUUUUGACAGGACAUGAAUGGAGGUUUGAGUUAAGCUUCUGUGGCUCUCAAGGGGCCAGGAGAUCCCAGCUACGCCAGCAUUUGCAUUAUACUAUAGUAAGAACUCUUUCAUAACUCUCAAAUGACUCGAAUGGAAUUUUUUUUCCUUUGACUCCCGCAACAACCAUGUUAAGGAAACUUUUUUCUUUAGAUUGUGCAGAUUUAACUCAAUCUACGUUGACCUUGACAUUGUGACAGAUUACCAGAAAUCUGCUUGUAUGACAUCUUGUAUGCAACUUAAUGUUUACUUUUGUUUGUGUUUGUCUUUUUAGGGCAGUACCCAUGGCUUAUGGAAGUUCCCAGGCUAGGGGCAGAAUCAGAGCUGUUGCUGCCAGCCUACACCAUAACCACAGUAAAGCCAGAUCUGAGCCACAUCUGCAACCUACACCACAGCUCACAGAAUUCUUAACUCACUGAGUGAGGCCAGGAUCGAACGCACACCCUCAUGGCUCCUGAGCCACGAUGGGAACUCCUGUUUACAUUUUAUUCAUUCAAACAUAUGGUAAUGGGAAGCUUCAAAAAUGCUAGGGAAAUCAUUGAACACAGACUGGUAGAGCUGGAAGAAAACUUAGAGACUACUUUACAGAUAAGGAAGCUAAGGUAAAAGAAAGUGAAUAACUUUCCUGAGGUGCACAACCAUCGAGCAAUAUAUUUCCUGGAUCGAUUUGAAGAGAAAGUCCAAUUUUUCGUGCCAGAAGAAUUUCUACAAUGGGCCACCUCCUUAAAGAGCUAACUUGACCAUGGAAGAGAACUUGGCCAACUCAAAAAUGUUUAUGUCUUUAGACUCUUUCCUCUAUUUCAUAAAAAAAAGUAGUCAAAAUAGCUAAAGGAAAAAAAAUGAUCUACAUGACCAUAAAACAUGGUUUUUCAGAACCCUUCAACCCAAGUCCAAAUUCUGGAGGACUUUAGUGAGUGAGGUCUCGGCAGACAGUUAGAUGGUUAGGUAGGCUUUUUCCCACUUAGUGUGUCUCCUGGGACUGAUGGUUGUCAACUGAAAACCAAUCAAUAUAUGUUUCACUUUUGUUUUCUGUAUAAAUAGUUGUCUUAUCUGAAAUGACCUUUUCCAAGAGCUAAUCGCCAUAAAUUUUUGCAGCUGGAUAUGUUUAGAAAUGCCUCUUAGCUAUUUUUGUUGAUUUAUUUUCUUUGUCUGUAUUUGUGCAACCCAGCUUUGGGCAUGGAAGCAAGAAGCCCUGGUCACUAGACCUCCACCUCUAGUGAUAUAAACUCGGGGAACACAGUCUCUCUCCUGUGGGAAAGAUCCCAUAUGGAAUCUCACGGAGCCAAAGCUCAGUCCGAGGGAAAUGACUGUAUGUUGGAAAAUCAUCUUCAGUUCCCUUUGUAGUAACUUUAGUUUGCAUUUUCCCCUCCGCCCCCCUUUUUUCUCUUUUUUGCUUUUUAGGGCCACACCCACAGCAAACCAAAGUUCCCAGGCUGGGGGUUGGAUCAGAGCUAUGGCUGCCCGCCUACACCGAGCCGCAUCUGUGACCUACACCACAACUCCUUAACCCACUGAGGGAGGCCAGAGGUCAAACCUGCAUCCUCAUGGAUACUAGGAGGAUUCAUUUCUGCGACACCACAAGGAAACUCCUCCCCCUGCUCAUUUUAUUCUUUUUCUAUCUACAACGUCAAUGUCCAAUAAUAUGGAGGUUACAUAUAUGGAGAAUUAAAACUCACUGGCAUAUUAAAAGGCACAAAAAUGCAAAUGCAAAUACUAUUUGCUGUGUAGCUUCAUGGAAAAACUUAUAUAAAAUACAUUAGGUGACUGCUGCCUAUAUUCACUUAGAGUAUGCAUAUUUUAUUUAUACGUUUGGAUAAAGUUUAGACAUUUUCUCAAAAAGAGGAAAGUGAGCUGACAAAACUUGAUGACCCAAUAUACGCUGAGUCUAUCUCGGUUAAUGCUUAGAACAGCCCAGUGAAAAGGCUUUAUUACCUUCGUUUAAAUAUAAAGAAUCUGAGGCUCGAUAAGGCCAAAUAACUUGCCAAUUAUACAGCUAAUAUAAAGGUACAACCAGGGUUACAGGUCAGUCCUAAAGCUAAAAUCCAUGCUGCUUUUACUAUGCUAUCUAUGGUGCAUUUAGAGAAACCGAACGAUUAUUGAUUUCGGUAAAGAGCUUACAUUAUGUCAUUUUUGAAUAAAAAUAAAUGCCAAGGUCUUUUUGUCCUCCCUAAUCAGUGGAUUUCUCACUUCUGAGUGAGGGAAAGAAACGUGAGUAGUGCAAAGGGAGAACUCGUCAUCCAUCUGCCCUUGCCUGUUACCUCUCUCGGGAUGUCCAUUUCCCAGGCAACAAUGCACAUGUCCAGAGGUCUAAAGUCAAAAGACUUCUAUGAAAAGAAUGCAAUAGUUUAAGCCCUGAACGUAAGACAGAGCAAUAAAGCAAUCAGUAUGGGCAGGGCUAAACUUAGAUGAAAUUUAGAAAUAGAAAAAAAUGUGUGUUUCUUUUUAAGCCUCCAGCAUUCUUUUAUGUGCUUUCCUCUCUUCUGCAGUGAUCCAUUUUCAGGAUCACACGUUGUCUCCACUGAAAUUAAUAAACUUAUUGAGGAGCCAUUUGUUUUCUGAAGCAGCUGAAGGUCCUUCUACCUCCUAAUGCGCAAGGGGCCUGCGGCCGUAAGUUUUAUAUAAUAGGUCAACUCUAGGAAGCUUGAAAAAGGUUCUGGAUCUACCUUUUACUGCCCCCACCCCGCUUUUUUUUAUGGCUGCUCCCAAGUCAGAUUCUUUUUUUUUUUUUUUUUUUUUUUGUCUUUUUGCCUUUUCUAGGGCGACUUCCUCGGCAUAUGGAGAUUCCCAGGCUAUGGGUGUCUAAUUGGAGCCGUAGCCACCAGCCUACGCCAGAGCCACAGCAACUUGGGAUCCAAGCCACAUCUGCAAUCUACACCACAGCUCACGGCAAUGCCGGAUCUUUUAACCCACUGAGCAAGGCCAGGGAUCAAACCUGCAACCUCAUGGUUCCUAGUCGGAUUCGUUAACCACUGCGCCACGACGGGAACUCCGCAGUCAGAUUCUUAACCCACUGUGCCUCAUCGGUAACUCCACCUUUUGCCUUCUUUAAGUUUGGUAUUGAGUUUGAAUUAUUAAAAGUCAGUAAAACAUUUUUUAAAAUAAACACUAAUAUUGGGGGAUAAGUGUUCAUCAAAUUUAAUCCAUUUCUUUUCCCAGGACUAUUUAUAUUUUAGCUGGAGAUGGGUUCUUAUGGUUCAAGAAUGAAUCUCUAAGGGUGGAAUUUCGGAUAUCAAUUGGCAGAUACCAGUCAAUCAAUAGGCCUCCAUUGCCACUAAAUUGCAAAAUAGUUUCUCUUAUGAAUCAGACAUGGGACUUGGGGAGCUGAAUCGAUUUAGUUCACCAUCACAAGAAUUAAUUUCUCCAUUAGGAGUUCCUGUUGUGGCUCAGCGGUAAUUAACCUGACUAGUAUCAAUGAGGACGUGGGUUUGAUUCCUGGCCUUGCCCGUGGGUUGAGGAUCUGGUGUUGCCAUGAGCUGUGGUGUGGGUCUAGGACAAGACCUGGACCUGGUGUGGCUGUGGCUGUGGUGUAGGCCAGCAGCUGCAGCUCCGAUUCGACCCCUAGCCUGGGAACCUCCAU